This is a long non-coding RNA of Xenia sp. Carnegie-2017, 329 nucleotides long. RefSeq lists it as uncharacterized. The transcript has 2 exons. Lineage: Eukaryota; Metazoa; Cnidaria; Anthozoa; Malacalcyonacea; Xeniidae. The record is from RefSeq and is a predicted model, not a curated record.
GUUCCACUUGCCGUGGGCAUCUUUCAUAAAUUGCAAGACCAUGUGAAAUAUCAAUGACUUCAUCUUCGGUGCCAUGAAUUACAAGUACAGAACAGAAUUCAUCACCAUGGAUUAAAGGAUGUCAAGGUUAAAUAAUAAGCGACAUAAUAAACAGUCGGUAUUAUUAAAGACGAUGAUCGGUUGUAAAACCAAAACAUACAAAUUCCCUCAAAGCAAUACGUAAAACUAAUAUAUAUUGACCACAUGCCAAUACUCAUAGAAAAAGACGUUAAUGCAUGUGUGAUAUUACCAAAUAUUUUAAAACAACGGUACCAUAUUUACCUUCUAAA